RNAcentral lists this ribosomal RNA (253 nucleotides) under uncultured bacterium. RNAcentral's name for it is "partial 16S ribosomal RNA". It matches the Rfam family "Bacterial small subunit ribosomal RNA", at positions 524 to 776 of the family's 1533-position model. The record is from RNAcentral.
UACGGGGGGGGCAAGCGUUGUUCGGAAUUACUGGGCGUAAAGAGCUCGUAGGCGGUUUGUCGCGUCUGCUGUGAAAACCUAAGGCUCAACCUUGGGCUUGCAGUGGGUACGGGCAGACUAGAGUGCGGUAGGGGUGACUGGAAUUCCUGGUGUAGCGGUGGAAUGCGCAGAUAUCAGGAGGAACACCGAUGGCGAAGGCAGGUCACUGGGCCGCAACUGGCGCUGAGGAGCGAAAGCAUGGGGAGCGAACAGG